Molecule: ribosomal RNA, 410 nt
Filed under: uncultured Nocardioides sp.
Lineage: Bacteria; Bacillati; Actinomycetota; Actinomycetes; Propionibacteriales; Nocardioidaceae
Description: bacterial SSU rRNA
Rfam family: Bacterial small subunit ribosomal RNA
Source: RNAcentral
GUGGGGAAUAUUGGACAAUGGGCGAAAGCCUGAUCCAGCAACGCCGCGUGAGGGAUGACGGCCUUCGGGUUGUAAACCUCUUUCAGCAGGGACGAAGCGAAAGUGACGGUACCUGCAGAAGAAGCACCGGCCAACUACGUGCCAGCAGCCGCGGUAAUACGUAGGGUGCGAGCGUUGUCCGGAAUUAUUGGGCGUAAAGAGCUCGUAGGCGGUCCAUCACGUCGGGAGUGAAACGCUGGGGCUUAACCCCAGUCCUGCUUCCGAUACGGGUGGACUAGAGGUAGGCAGGGGAGAACGGAAUUCCUGGUGUAGCGGUGAAAUGCGCAGAUAUCAGGAGGAACACCGGUGGCGAAGGCGGUUCUCUGGGCCUUACCUGACGCUGAGGAGCGAAAGCGUGGGGAGCAAACAGG